Molecule: ribosomal RNA, 399 nt
Filed under: uncultured bacterium
Lineage: Bacteria
Description: bacterial SSU rRNA
Rfam family: Bacterial small subunit ribosomal RNA
Source: RNAcentral
AAUAUUGGACAAUGGGCGAAAGCCUGAUCCAGCCAUGCCGCGUGAGUGAUGAAGGCCUUAGGGUUGUAAAGCUCUUUUGUGGGGGAAGAUGAUGACGGUACCCCAAGAAUAAGCACCGGCUAACUUCGUGCCAGCAGCCGCGGUAAUACGAAGGGUGCUAGCGUUGUUCGGAAUCACUGGGCGUAAAGCGCGCGUAGGCGGCGCAGCAAGUCAGGGGUGAAAUCCCAGAGCUUAACUCUGGAAUUGCCUUUGAAACUGCUGCGCUGGAGUGGCGGAGGGGAUGGCGGAAUUGCUAAUGUAGAGGUGAAAUUCGUAGAUAUUAGCAGGAACACCGGUGGCGAAGGCGGCCAUCUGGACGACAACUGACGCUGAGGCGCGAAAGCGUGGGGAUCAAACAGG